Molecule: small RNA, 16 nt
Filed under: Arabidopsis thaliana (thale cress)
Lineage: Eukaryota; Viridiplantae; Streptophyta; Magnoliopsida; Brassicales; Brassicaceae
Description: ATSL252690
Source: RNAcentral
CUUUCUUACUUAUCUC